RNAcentral lists this ribosomal RNA (398 nucleotides) under uncultured bacterium. Its description in RNAcentral is "partial 16S ribosomal RNA". It matches the Rfam family "Bacterial small subunit ribosomal RNA", at positions 338 to 734 of the family's 1533-position model. The record is from RNAcentral.
CCUACGGGUGGCAGCAGUGAGGAAUAUUGGUCAAUGGGAGAGAUCCUGAACCAGCCAAGCCGCGUGAGGGAUGACGGCCCUAUGGGUUGUAAACCUCUUUUGUCGGGGAACAAAACCCGUCACGUGUGGCGGUUUGCGUGUACCCGAAGAAAAAGCAUCGGCUAACUCCGUGCCAGCAGCCGCGGUAAUACGGAGGAUGCGAGCGUUAUCCGGAUUUAUUGGGUUUAAGGGGUGCGUAGGCGGUUCGUUAAGUCAGCGGUAAAAUUCCGGGGCUAAACCCCGUCUUGCCGUUGAAACUGGCAGACUUGAGUUGGCGAGAGGUAGGCGGAAUGCGGGGUGUAGCGGUGAAAUGCAUAGAUAUCGCGAAGAACUCCGAUUGCGAAGGCAGCUUACCGGCG